UGUUGUCAAACGGUUUGGACGGCUGCUGUACCUCAGGAUGUUUUGUUGUGCCUUUUUUUAUCUUCAGUAACGCUGGGUCAGAUCUCUACUUCUUCUGGUCCAGUUUCAGGUGCAUUUCUUUUUCUUAAAUGUUGUAAGAGCUUAACAAGACAGAUGAGGUCGAUGUAAUGAUGAGCAAAAUUUUCAUGUAUUCUUUUGAAAAAGCCCGUAGGAGGAGAGGAUUUCAAUGGUUUAAGGAAUAAUUGAAUUAGGAAUUUUGCAUUUAUUUACUCUUUCUAAAAGUGAUCAACAGUUUUGCAUAAAUACUGGGAAGGAAACAGAUUGCGUAGCUCUGUUUUAAAGUUUAGAGUCUGUUUAAAUGUGCAUACCAACCCCUCAAAAGCGUAUAUAUACACACGUGCAUAAGAGAGAACUCAAUUUUCAUUUCCUACUCUUAGAAAGAAUUUGAAUAAGCACAUUUCCUGAAAUGUUCAACUGUUUCAACUUGCAGAAUUGAGUGUUCUGCUUGCCAAAUAUAAGCCAAAUUCAUCUUUUUUAGUACAACAGAAA
This is a long non-coding RNA of Etheostoma cragini (Arkansas darter), 549 nucleotides long. RefSeq lists it as uncharacterized. The record is from RefSeq and is a predicted model, not a curated record. NCBI's taxonomy places the organism in Eukaryota, Metazoa, Chordata, Actinopteri, Perciformes, Percidae. The transcript has 3 exons.